Molecule: unclassified non-coding RNA, 321 nt
Filed under: Hevea brasiliensis (rubber tree)
Lineage: Eukaryota; Viridiplantae; Streptophyta; Magnoliopsida; Malpighiales; Euphorbiaceae
Source: RNAcentral
CCAAAAAAAAAAAAAACCUGUGAGAUCACCAGUGAUGAGAACGAGAGAAGGAUUGAUCAUUUGAAGAGCAAGGACCACAAUCUUCUUGAAGUCAAGGGCUCUAUCAGGGUAGUGGACACUGAAAUGGAGAUCAGAGAGCUGAACCACCCAUAUCACUGAUUCUGGGCUCCCUUUCACUUCUAUCAACCUUUCACCCCAUUGUUUGGCUUGUGAGGAAACCAAUUUCUCUGUUUCUUCUUCUCUGUAUUCCUGUUGUGCAGCAAGUGAAGUGAUGGGUACAGAGGCGAGGAGGCAUAAACAGCAUCAAAACUAGAAUACCCA